AGAUCCUCUAGGGCAGUCCUGCUGCGACAUCUGUCAUCCCACUGAUGGUCAGGGCUGAUUGGGCCCAUCUGGCUGGCCAGGCGGUGUCCCCUUCCACCCUCACUGCUCCAUGUGUGUCCCUUCCAAAGUUGCAUGCUUGGUCAGAGAGAACGACCACCCGCGAUAGAGAAGGACCGUUUCCUUUGUCAAGGGUAUAUGAGUAGCUGCACUUCCUUGCUACAAUCUCCAGACAAGUUCUCAAAAGAACCUCUGCCAAGACCCUUGCCAUUGUACAGGUGAGGAAACCAGAGCGCAGAGGACAGAAGACAGCCUAGGUACACUGGUGAGUUACC
RNAcentral lists this small nuclear RNA (332 nucleotides) under Chinchilla lanigera (long-tailed chinchilla). RNAcentral's name for it is "7SK RNA (ENSCLAG00000022102.1)". It matches the Rfam family "7SK RNA". From Rfam's summary of the family: 7SK was discovered as an abundant small nuclear RNA in the mid-70s but a possible function has only recently been suggested. Two independent studies have found that 7SK RNA binds the CDK9/cyclin T complex (known as elongation factor P-TEFb). Lineage: Eukaryota; Metazoa; Chordata; Mammalia; Rodentia; Chinchillidae. The record is from RNAcentral.